CAGCCGCCGCGGUAACACCAGCCCCUCGAGUGGUGGGGAUGAUUAUUUGGCCUAAAGCGUCCGUAGUUGCCGGAAAAGUUUCCCGUUAAAUCCGACGUCUCAAGCGUUGGACCGCGGGAAAUACUAUCUGGCUAGAGAGUGGGAGAGGUUAGCGGUAUUCUGGGGGUAGGGGCGAAAUCCUUUGAUCCCCGGAGGACCACCAGUGGCGAAGGCUGCUGACUAGAACACGUCUGACGGUCGGGGACGAAAGCUGGGGUAGCGAACCGGAUUAGAUACCCGGGUAGUCCCAGCCGUAAACGAUGCAUGCUAGGUGUUGGGUUGGCCACGAGCCACCCCAGUGCCGCAGGGAAGCCGUUAAGCAUGCCGCCUGGGAAGUACGAUCGCAAGGUUGAAACUUAAAGGAAUUGGCGGGGGAGCAC
This 419-nucleotide ribosomal RNA is filed under the name uncultured Nitrososphaerota archaeon. RNAcentral's name for it is "bacterial SSU rRNA". It matches the Rfam family "Archaeal small subunit ribosomal RNA", at positions 459 to 879 of the family's 1478-position model. The record is from RNAcentral. Lineage: Archaea; Thermoproteati; Nitrososphaerota.